CUGACCUUGUCCUUUGGAAUCUCAGCUGUGCUAGCACAUCUUUGAGCCAGAAGCCCGAGAGUCACGUUUGAUUCCUUCUCUUUCUAACUAGCAAGUCCUGCCUAUGCCACCUCUAAGAGGCAUCUUACACCCAUCUGCAUUUCACUUUACCUUCCAGAAGGCAUCUCAAGAUGAAGGUUUCCUAUUUGUGAUUAUGAAAAAAAUGUCAAGAACAAGUCCGUUGGUGUUCUUAGACCGAAGUCAGAACAACAGACCUAGCACUGUGGGAGAUUCUGAGGGUACAGAGGAGAACUGAAGAGACUUGGUAUUCACUAAGGGAAGAGCCAAACUUCAAGGCGACUUAAACCUUUAUUUGGGGGGUCCUCUUUAGGAAAAGAACAUUAAAUUACAUACACACAGUUAGAUUCAGGGCCAGGGAGGAGGUCUUGCA
This is a long non-coding RNA of Gorilla gorilla gorilla (western lowland gorilla), 430 nucleotides long. RefSeq lists it as uncharacterized. The transcript is spliced from 3 exons. NCBI's taxonomy places the organism in Eukaryota, Metazoa, Chordata, Mammalia, Primates, Hominidae. The record is from RefSeq and is a predicted model, not a curated record.